This 500-nucleotide ribosomal RNA is filed under the name uncultured Myrionecta. RNAcentral describes it as "SSU rRNA". It matches the Rfam family "Eukaryotic small subunit ribosomal RNA", at positions 33 to 598 of the family's 1831-position model. The record is from RNAcentral. Lineage: Eukaryota; Ciliophora; Litostomatea; Cyclotrichida; Mesodiniidae.
AUUGUUCAAGAUAGCCAUGCACGUCUAAGUACAAACUAAAUGAUGGUGAAACUGCAAAUGGCUCAUUACAACGGUUAUGAUGUACCCGGGAGUUCCGAUGGAUAUUUCCAGUAACACUAGAACUAAUACAUGUCCCUGCGUUUAUUAGUUUCGCACAGUCCGUCGCUGAGUCAUGGUAGACAGUUGAUCGACUCGACGUCCCGGAACAGUUUCCGCCCCAUCAGCUUCGAUGGUUGGGUAUUGGCCUACCAUUGCAACAACGGGUAACGAGGAAUUAGGGUUUGAUUUCGGAGAGGGAGCCUGAGAAACGGCUACCACAUCUACGGAUGGCAGCAGGCGCGCAAAUUACCCAAUGCAGACACUGUGAGGUAGUGACGAGAAAUAAUAAAGCGGGACUUCUGUUUCGCUAUUAUAAUGAGGAAUAACCAAAGGUCAUUCCGAUUAGCAACUGAUGGGAAAGUCUGGUGCCAGCAGCCGCGGUAAUACCAGCGUCAGUAGCA